GAUGAACGCUGGCGGCGUGCCUAAUACAUGCAAGUCGAGCGAACAGACGAGGAGCUUGCUCCUCUGACGUUAGCGGCGGACGGGUGAGUAACACGUGGAUAACCUACCUAUAAGACUGGGAUAACUUCGGGAAACCGGAGCUAAUACCGGAUAAUAUAUUGAACCGCAUGGUUCAAUAGUGAAAGACGGUUUUGCUGUCACUUAUAGAUGAAUCCGCCCGCAUUAGCUAGUUGGUAAGGUAACGGCUUACCAAGGCGACGAUGCGUAGCCGACCUGAGAGGGUGAUCGGCCACACUGGAACUGAGACACGGUCCAGACUCCUACGGGAGGCAGCAGUAGGGAAUCUUCCGCAAUGGGCGAAAGCCUGACGGAGCAACGCCGCGUGAGUGAUGAAGGUCUUCGGAUCGUAAAACUCUGUUAUUAGGGAAGAACAAAUGUGUAAGUAACUAUGCACGUCUUGACGGUACCUAAUCAGAAAGCCACGGCUAACUACGUG
This 496-nucleotide ribosomal RNA is filed under the name uncultured bacterium. RNAcentral's name for it is "partial 16S ribosomal RNA". It matches the Rfam family "Bacterial small subunit ribosomal RNA", at positions 28 to 507 of the family's 1533-position model. The record is from RNAcentral.